GACGAACGCUGGCGGCGUGCUUAACACAUGCAAGUCGAACGGUGAAGCGCUUGCCUUUUUGGUGGGUGUGGAUGAGUGGCGAACGGGUGAGUAACACGUGAGUAACCUGCCCUCUUCUUCUGGAUAACCUCAUGAAAGUGGGGCCAAUACGGGGUAUUCCGGGUCUGUCGCAUGGCGGGUUUGGGAAAGAUUGCGCCUUUGGGUGUUUUCGGUGGGGGAUGGGCUCGCGGCCUAUCAGCUUGUUGGUGGGGUGAUGGCCUACCAAGGCGGUGACGGGUAGCCGGCCUGAGAGGGUGGACGGCCACACUGGGACUGAGACACGGCCCAGACUCCUGCGGGAGGCAGCAGUGGGGAAUAUUGCACAAUGGGCGCAAGCCUGAUGCAGCGACGCCGCGUGAGGGAUGGAGGCCUUCGGGUUGUGAACCUCUUUCGCCAGUGAAGCAGGCCUGCUCCUGUGUGGGUGGGUUGACGGUAGCUGGAGAAGAAGCGCCGGCUAACUACGUG
Molecule: ribosomal RNA, 504 nt
Filed under: uncultured bacterium
Lineage: Bacteria
Description: partial 16S ribosomal RNA
Rfam family: Bacterial small subunit ribosomal RNA
Source: RNAcentral